UGGGGAAUCUUGGACAAUGGGCGCAAGCCUGAUCCAGCCAUGCCGCGUGAGUGAUGAAGGCCUUAGGGUUGUAAAACUCUUUCGUCGGGGACGCGGUACCCGAAGAAGAAGCCCCGGCUAACUUCGUGCCAGCAGCCGCGGUAAUACGAAGGGGGCUAGCGUUGUUCGGAUUUACUGGGCGUAAAGCGCGUGUAGGCGGGCUGGUAAGUUGGGGGUGAAAUCCCGAGGCUCAACCUCGGAACUGCCUCCAAAACUGUCAGCCUGGACUCAAGUAGAGGCAAGUGGAAUUGCGAGUGUAGAGGUGAAAUUCGUAGAUAUUCGCAGGAACACCAGUGGCGAAGGCGACUUGCUGGACUUGUAGUGACGCUGAGACGCGAAAGCGUGGGGAGCAAACAGGAUUAGAUACCCCUGUAGU
This 415-nucleotide ribosomal RNA is filed under the name uncultured bacterium. Its description in RNAcentral is "bacterial SSU rRNA". It matches the Rfam family "Bacterial small subunit ribosomal RNA", at positions 355 to 794 of the family's 1533-position model. The record is from RNAcentral.